Molecule: transfer RNA, 86 nt
Filed under: Gammaproteobacteria bacterium
Lineage: Bacteria; Pseudomonadati; Pseudomonadota; Gammaproteobacteria
Also listed under: 1 other name
Description: tRNA-Leu
Rfam family: tRNA
About the family: Transfer RNA (tRNA) molecules are approximately 80 nucleotides in length. Their secondary structure includes four short double-helical elements and three loops (D, anti-codon, and T loops).
Source: RNAcentral
GCGAAAGUGGCGGAAUUGGUAGACGCGCUGGUUUUAGGUGCCAGUGGGCUAGCCCCUUGAGGGUUCGAGUCCCUCCUUUCGCACCA